CUUUUGCGUGAGGGAUGGAAGUGGCAUCCUUUUAUGAAAUGCAAUGGAAUAAAAGAUAUAGCGUACAGCCCGACCGAAC
RNAcentral lists this small RNA (79 nucleotides) under Flavobacterium weaverense. Its description in RNAcentral is "Flavo-1 RNA". It matches the Rfam family "Flavo-1 RNA". Lineage: Bacteria; Pseudomonadati; Bacteroidota; Flavobacteriia; Flavobacteriales; Flavobacteriaceae. The record is from RNAcentral.